Molecule: non-coding RNA, 15421 nt
Organism: Anas platyrhynchos (mallard)
Lineage: Eukaryota; Metazoa; Chordata; Aves; Anseriformes; Anatidae
Source: RefSeq, a predicted model, not a curated record
GAGGACCUGAGGACACAGAAGAAAAGGGAGCAUUGUUGGCACAGGCCCUGCAGCUGUGCUCAGGGUAGAGAAGCAGAAUUUUCCAGAGGGAUGUGGGGCCAGCUCAACAUGAGCACAGCCCUGUUGGCUUUGGUGAAGUCCAGACUGUGUCCAGGAGGAACCCACAGCUGGUGGGGAGCAGGUGGGCCUCCCCCUGCCCACCUUUGGGCAUGUUGCCCCUGCCUUCUGGUGCUGAUGGCCCAGACCUUCGUGCCACCCCAAUAACCCCUGGUGCAGCCCUCAAAUGGUGGCAGAGGCAGCUUCUUAUCCCUGUUAUAUUUUUAAAGGAAAAUGGUUAAUUCGGUACUAAUGAAGCCUCACGUGCUCGUUUAUCUGGCAGGAACACCCCUUAUGGGUUCUGCAUUCAGUGCAACACCAGUACUGAGCAGUAUGAAGGGUUAAGGCACGGGUGAAGGUGCCGCAUCCCUGCCUUAGGUCCUAACUCGGUGCCCCAGGAGCUGAGCCCGGGGUUGCUAAGCUUCCUCCAGUAGCUAUAGGAACAGCAGCCUCGACGCUAAACACCGUUAAAUUACACCACGCAAGCUUGAGCUCCUUUAGGUUUGUGCUCUGAGCAGACAAAUCCCUCGUGUUGAAGUGGCUUCACCUCCUACCCGUGCUCUGGAUUAUGGGUUAAAAUUGCUUUGAUUUGAAACAAAACAACUUCUCAUUUCCAUACCAGCUGUGACCCCCCAGGUGCCAAUCUUGGCUCAAAGGCCACCCUUAUCUGCAGCCUGAAAUCCCCAGUGCCAUCCUGCUCGUGCUGGGGAUGGAUACAGCCCCAUUACUCUUGCUGGGACUAUUGUGUGCUGACCACCAGGCACAUAAAUCUGGAAAAUGGGUUCCUCAUGGUUUUGGUAAAAAAGUGUAAGGAGCUGAAGAGCUCCUCACUGCAUCACCAGAAAUUUUACCAAAGCUCUAAGAAGUCAUGAACUUCAGGUAUUAUUCAGAGCCAAGACAUGGUCCUGUUGGGACCAUGGACCUGCCUUGAAGGGCCAAGGCAUGUGCAGUGCCAAGAGGUAGGAACUGCCCCAUCCACUACAACAGGCUCCUUCUGGGACUUUUGGUGGCAGGACGAGGUGGGAUGACAACCUGGGGUUCUCUAGCAGGAUGGGUGCAAUAGCUCAGUGGUUGGGUUUCUGGGGAUGGGAGAGGAUAAAGGUGUGCUGCUUUGGUGUGAUCUGACUUUGCUGCUGUCUGCAAGUGCCAUAAUCUCGAGCAGUUUCCCUCUCUCACUGCCAUUACUCCCUGCUCUGAAGCUCCUCUCCAGCUCCCCAGGGAGCGGCCGUGCCUCUCCCUCUUCCCCUGUUGCUCAAUGAAAAUAUUUCCUUACUGAUUCCUCUCCUACAAUACCGAGGUACUCCUGUAAAUACAACUAUUCAGACACCUCACAGCAUUUAUGGGGUUAUUAUCCCACAUCACUGCAGCGUUCCUGCUGCACUUUUUCUUCUCACGAGCAGGCAUGUGGGACACCUUUGGUAAGUUCUGUCUUUCUUUUUGUUUAUGGUUUCUGGCAAAGCAAGAAAAAUGGAAAUAAAAUGGAAAAAACUCCAAGGUGGAGUGGCCACCUCUUUCACCUUUGCUCCUCAUGGUGACUUUGUCCAUGCUCACAGGGGAGGGAAAGGAGGAGGACACCUGAGAAGACAACAAGGUGGGGUGGGUGCACCUUAAGCAGUGUUUUGGGGCUACUUGCCCAAAGCUGGGGACAACUAAGCACUCGUGAGACUAACCAGAAAGCUAAGCCCUUCACACUGCUUGAGUGCCUUCAACUUGAUGGUGACACGUCCCCAUGGGGUCCAUCCAGGGCUUUUCUCCUUCGACACCCUUGCAACACCCCGUGGUUGAGCCUUGCUCGGGGGGGGGCUGCUCUCAGAGCCCCCCAACACCUCCUCCCCAAUCCUCACCACCUCCUGACCUCCCCCACAGCUUCUUGGUGGCCCUGGCUGACCUACGGGUGGCACAGGGACUAAUUAGCACUGCCUGCCUUUGAUUGACUUGCUGGCAUGCGAGACUCACCGCGAGCUCCUUGGCCUCUCUCCCUGCUUUUUUUUCUCUCUCUCUUUUUUUUUUUUUUUUUUUUCUUUGUGUGUGUGUGUGUGUGUGUGUGUUCCGUAGGAAAGUAAUUAUGGCCACACGCCAGUGCCGCAGAGCCAGGCUGGAGCUUUGUAGUGAGCCCCAUUGCAGGGCUGCAGAGCAAACUCAGUGGUGGGAAUAAAAUAAAGUCCUCCCAAACUCCUCGCCGCCUAGGAGAACCCAGCCUGGCCACUGGAAGUGCUUGCAGGUGGGAUGGAGGAGAGUGUGAGAGUGUGGGCACAGCCACGAGGACUAGCUAAGGAUGGUGAGCAGGUCGUGUGGCUCACAGCUUCAAUGUCAUGGUUGGGCUUGGUCACCUUGGAGGUUCUUUCCAACCUAGAUGUGUCUAUGAUUCCGUGACCCCAACCCACAGACAAAAAGACAUCCAUUUGCUCAUAGAAACCACCAGGUUCAUGGACCCGAACCCAGUACUCGUCAUGCUGAGUGCCCGUGGGAGUGGCCAGCGCUCAUUUCUGGGCAGCAAAUGGUGGCAUCACCUGGGUGGACGGAUGGCUUCGGGUGGUGGUGCUGCAGGGGCAGUUGCAUCUCCACGGCAUGAUGCUAGGAGAGCUUUCUCUUUAUUUUCUUUUAUUAUUACAAACAGAGUUGUGGGAACAAUUUGGGGCUGCAUGCACAGUUUGAAAGGUCAGGGCUUGUCUAUCCAGGAAGAGAAGUCGCAUUAAUGACAGGUUUGCGGGUGAAUUUGGGCCAGCCCAGGCAGGAGUUUAAAUUAAGGUUCAAAUUCAAGUUUGGCAGGUGUCGAACGCUCAGCUCCAAAAUGCUUCAGCUUAGGGGAUCUGCGAAAAAAUCAAUCUGAUACCAUUUAUGUGCACGGGGCUCAAUAAAAUGAAACAAUCUAAAACUGAGAAAAAUGUUUGAGCACUUUUGCCCAAGAUGUAACAGAGCCCAGUGCUCUCUUUCCCUCCCAAACAGCCUCUCCGCACGCAGGAUUUGCAUCCUAGGGGCCACUGAAGGAAGAAAUAGAGAAAAAAAAAUCCUGCAGCACGUCCUCCUUAAAUAUAUAUUGUAGGUUAUUUUUACAGGUUGCAGUCCCGAGCAGCAUCUGUGGCCCCCUUUUUUAUUGCCUUGCAAAUGCAGUCACAGCAGGCACAACUCACACCAUGGGACCGGCACAGGUAUGGCACAGAUGCAAAAUAUGGAGGGGGGAACACAAGAGGGACUUGGUGAGCACUGUGCUGGGGACGAUUUAAGGUUUGGACAGCCCAAGAGCAUCUCCAAGUGAAACCAAAUUGAACGCCUUGCUUUGGGGCAUCAGGUGCCCCAGCAGUCCUGGGGGGGCCGGGGCUGUGGAUGGAUGCGAGCUGGCUCUCGAGCUGUGCCGGGGAUGCCCGGGGAGCGAGCACCUCCCCCUGCUGACUAAUUGCAUGGUUAAGCAUGAAAUACUCUGAUGCUUUUAACAGCAUUCCCCAACUAUAUGUGGAGGAAGAAAUCUAUAGUUCCCCAAGCUGCCUGUAAAUUCGGCAGGCUUAAUAAUUCAUGUGUGCCUUUGUGAUCACAGCCUACAUUAUAUCUUUCUUUCAUUACAUACUCUUUUAUUGAAUUUUCACGGCAUAUAUCAAUAGCCUCUAUAAGCUCCCAUGGGAAAGGAUGAGCGCAAAGUUUUAGGGCAAACUCAUUUCAUUAACACGUCAGCAGCUGAGGCCUGAAUCUGGCCCACAGCACCCAGCUGUACGAGACACCUUGCUGCAGAGUUUUGUAGACUCUUUUUACCCAGGAACACCCAAAUUCAUGAAAAAAGGGUUUUGGAUGGGGCUAGAAUUUUUUGGAUUUCCUACCCUUCAUUGACACAGCCAUGAGCUGUGUUUCUGACCCCUGAAAUGAAGCUCUGCUGGCCCUGGAGCAGCUCUGGUGAUGCUCUGAAGCCAUAAAGCUGGAAUUAACCAUAAUUGCGGAGCAUUGCAGGGCACAAACACCCUCUAAAUCCUCUUCAAUUACGUGGUAGUACUUAAUCACAUGGCAACUGGAAUUUAAGCACAGAAAUAAAUACGAUGUUAUUUUUGUCUUUGGCAGGGACAUUGGUAAUGAAUUUUGGAGGGUGAUGGAGGACCUGCUGGCACGGCAUGGUGGGGGCUGCGUGGUGGGGCUGCCAUCGCUUUGCAUCCCACAGAGAUUUAUCAUGAACUGCUGAGAAAUCUGACAAAACAGUUGGGCUUUUAGCUCUUCCUGCAUCCUUGUCUGGCUCAGCUUUUUCUCUGCUACUCUGGUUUUUGCCUAUCCUAAAUGGACUUCAGGUGCAAAUGACCAUGUGAUUGCUUUCUACUUAUGACUACAUUUAGCACCUGUAUGGCAGGUGUGGGGAUCUGGUACAGCACCACACGAGUGUGCAGAGUUGCCCUCCUUCCCUUUCUCUCUCCUGCUCCCCUUGCCAUCAUCCCUCCCUCUUCCCAUCCUUGCACAGGCAGAGACUCAUGGACAGACGGUGGCAGGGCCACGUGGCCAUCCUCCAGCAUGGAGGGAACCCAGUGCAAGAGAGAGCCUGGAUCCCCAGUGGAUUCAUCUCACAUGAAUUACACUGCCUUCAGGUCCCUCUUGGCCACGUGCAUGAGGUGGUUUUUUUUUUCCCCAUUUGCUCUCAGCACACAGCAGCAAAGCCUCGUGCUCAUGUACUGGGUGCUUGCUGUCAUGUUUCAUUAGUGCACGAGCCGUCCUGGCCCUCCUCGCAGCCUUGCACUUAGCCAUGGUGGAUGCAAAUUCCCUGACUUGGGGAGCCCCCAUCCUGGCUCCACCAAAGUGCUGCCAGCUAUCACCCCCCUGCACGGACAUUAUGCACAUUAAAGAUGCACGGAAGGGGCUGGGAAGCUAGAUGCAUCAGCCAGGAGGCAAUGCAAAGGGCAGGAGGCGAGCACUGCUGGAAGGCAGAGUUGCAUCGGAUUUCAUCUGUGGCACCAGGGCACCUGGCCCCAAAAUGGGAUUUGGAAGUGCUGCCACAGGACUGCAUGGCAAAGAAAUGCCCAUUGGGCAUGUCUUUGCAUUCAUUUUCCCCCGGGUGUGUAUUUUUACACUGUGGAGAAGGAGCAGACCUGAUGCGCCCCUCAGGUCGUGCGUGCUCUGGCAUACCUCAGAUUGUUUAUACCUAGACUGGAAAAUUCUCAUUUUUCUCCCUUUUUAACAUAUCACUCAAGCUAAGCCAUGGACUGCAGCUGAUUCACAUGCAACCUGGCAGGUGGCAGCAGGGAUCACACUGUUUGAACCCUCCAAUAUUUGAUAUUUCCUACCAAUUGCAGUUUCUGCAGAGUUUCCCCCAGUUAUUCAGCAAAGCAGCAGGCACUUGUGCCAGACUUUGCUCCCCUGGACGGAGCACACAGCCUCCCCCACACAAGUAACACUGGCUGUGCAGCGAGCAGCGCGCUGCUCAUGCACCAUUUAUCCAUCCACCUCCCAUACCUUAACCUCAGCAUUUUGGGAGAGCAGCAGAGAUGCUCACCCCCAGCCCCAUAGCAGGGCUCAGGAUGAUUUCUACCAUCAAAAAGACAACCAGAGCAAGGAAAUGAAUCGUAGACCUGCUGCAGAGACUUCGUUUGAUAAAUAAUGUAUAUAGAGUUUGCAGUAAUAACCACUAUUUUUUUUUUCCCCGAGCCAGCCAGCUGGGCUGGGUUUGACACAUCCUCGCUGUACUGUCAGAUAGGUUAAUCUGUUUUACUUAUUUUAUUAUUAUUUUUUUCCAUGCCAGAUGAGCCUUGUGUGUGCGUAUGGAGAGGAGGUGGCAGCCCUGGGUAUGCACAGGGCUGCCUGCAGGUACUGGCUGCCCCAAACCCAGGGCUGCUGCUCCCUUCAUCAAGCCUUGAGCACGCACCCAUCUCCCGCUGCUUCCCCACAAGCACAGGGCACAGCUCGCCAGCUCCAUUGUCUCUGGUUUAGUCCUGCCACCAAAUUCUUCAGGGAAAAUAAAGGUGAUUGGGAAGCCUCAGUGCACCAGCGUGGACUUGCACAGAAGACCUGAGUCAGGCCGAGUUUUUAUUGCCCUAUAAUAGGCAAGUACCUCAUUAAGGAGUGGAUAUAAAUGUGUAAUAUAAUUUUGCUGAGCUUGGAGCCGGUGCAGGGCAUGAGAGCUUGGAAGCAAGCCUGCUGGUCUGUCAGGCUUCCUAAGCUCCAGCUUGGUUUUGCUCACUUAAAUUAUCCCACUAGCAUCAUGAGUGUUGGGGUUGGACAGUUUACAAGCAAGCACUUAAAAUCAAUUUUCUUUUUUUUUUUUUUUUUUUUUCUUCUGAAGAAUUGCAUGCUGAAGGAGACCCCUUCAGUGCUGUGGCAGUGAUGUGACACAACCCCUGUCACCAGCAGAAAAGUUCAUUGUGCUCUGCUCCCUCCUCCCUCCAUCCCCAGUGCCAACCCAUGCACAUACACAGUUGCCCUUUGCUGAUCAGGAAAGGCUGAUUCAGCAUUUCUUAUUUCUCUGAGUUGGUGAAUUUUAUAAUUUCUAAGCCCAGAUUAGCCACAGUCAUCUGGAGCACUCUUUCUUGUCUGCGUUUGCUGCCCUUUCCCUUUUGAUCCAAAGGGUAGAUAAAUAAUGAUAAAUAACACACUCUGGUCUUCCUGUAGGGCUUGCUGAACUGAGAAACGAGAUCACUUGGAUAGCAAUUGCAGCACUGUAGGAAGGGGGGAAAUAGCCAAAAAUAUUUGCAGAGUUGGAGUGCAGCAGUGCGAAAGCCAGGGAUUAUUGGUUGUGUGGUGCCUCUGCAGAAACCUGCGAGCAAACACCUCCUGGUGCCAGCCAGGAGCAGGACACAGCCACUAACUGAGAUGGACAGGGGCUGCCACUCCCACACCCUAAAUACAGCAAAAAGACAGUGACUUCUUCACCACGGGGGCACUGGCACUGGGUCUGUCCGUCUGUCCUGUGCCUGGGUGCUGGGGCAGACCCAAUACAGCUCCCACCGUAAGAAGAUGCAAGUUCAUGUUGAGUUGAUUUAAAAUGAUUUAUUUAUUUAUUUUACCCAAAAUACUUUAGUGAAAAGUGCUGACGGCAACAGGAUCCAUUCCUCCAGCAUUUAUUUGGUGGCUCAGCCUGUGCCUGCACACCUCUGGCUGUUGGUGUCAGGUUUGUAAUUAUGUUCUUGUUAGCACAUUUUAUUUUUUUCUGGGGGGUGGGUAGGUGAUGGAAACAUGCCUACAUUUCAUGUCAGCCUUUCUUGGCAUGUCAGAAAGCAUUUUCUAUUUGCCAUGACAGCAGGAGCUUAAAUCAAAGCUUAAAUAUCCAUAAAAACCUAUUGGUUGCUGAAUUGCCUGGUCCUGCAGCUGGCAGCCAGCUGAUCCUGCAAAAUCCACAGAAAAAUGGGACCUGGGACAAGGUAAGGACCUGAGGGAGCAAAUCUGCUCCCUUUGCUCCAGCUCCCAUUCCCUCCAACCCAGAGCUGACUUUCCAACCUCCUGGUCCUUGGGACGGAGAGGAGCGAGGAGAUGGCCCUGUGCUCCAUGGGAGUCUGGGGAAGGGCUGGGGCUGAAAAUAUAUUUUCAUUUUAUUUUAUUUUAUUUUUAGACAACCCCUUGGUGGUGCAACAUCAGAGCUCCUGCUUGCCCAAACACUGGCUCAGCCUGGGCUGACUUCCAGGUGAAACAGCUCAUGGAUCCAAGGCUGCGCUGUCCUGGUGAUUCACUCUGCCACAGGGAGGGCAUCUCAGAGCCAGCAAAUUUUUGUUCCCCCCCCAGUUUAAUACCAGCUCCAGCAUGCAAAGAGGUGCCUGGCAGGGUCCACGAGCCCUGGCCACCUGAUGAGGUGUGAGGAUGCCACCAGCAGAUGGGUCGACACUCGCCCAUGAUGGUGCAGGAACCCUGGUGCCUCUGGUCCUGGUGCAGCUCCUGGCCCCAUGGCCCCAUUUAUUAUAUCUCUCUCUCUAUAUAUAUAUAUAGAGAGAAAUAUAUAUAUUUUUUCCCCUACAUUCAACAGCCCUGACCCAGAAUGACCAGUGAACAUCCCAGACCCAUGCAUCUCCGAGGAACUCUCCGAGCAUCCUGGCCAACCCCGUACCGGAGACAUAGGACAUCAUCUCCCUGCUACAGACCUCUCCUGCAAUGACAGCACCUUGGGGUUGAAGAUUUUUGCUACAUGACAGUGCUCACAGUUUUUCUGUCUUAUUAUUUAUCAGGGCUGGAACUUGUGGUGAUAACACAAAUGGGAGUUUUUCUGCCAACGUCUCUGGGCUGGUUAGCCAUUAAAGGAUCUGUGCACACGCCGGUCCUGAAGUCAGGCCAACUUUCUCUUCCAAUUUCCCCUCCUAUCCUUCAUCCUCACUGCCUGUUUUCCCUUUGGGAGACCUGUUGUAGUGAUUUUUUUUUUCUUUCAUUUUUUUUUUCCCCCGUAUAUAGCAGAGUUUGAUUUGGCAACCAGCCAGGGGACUUGCAAUUGCUUUGUCCUUUGGUCUGUUGGGUUAUUUCGACUUCAUGUUUCUCUAUUGGGAAACUGAUUAAGACCAAAAAAAAAAGUCCCAUCUUCGACUGGAAAUGGACUUUCAGUGAUAAAAAAGAUGUUCCUAGGUUAUCCUGGAGGCAGGUGCAAUCUCCUGUGUUCUUUUUUUUUUUUUUCUUCAUUUUUUUGUCUUGAUUUAUUUAUUUAUUUAUUUUUACUUGUUAGCACUUUCAUUUAUUUUUUUUUUUUUCACAGGUGCUUGAGCAUUUAAAGGAUGUUUCUCCCUUUCUCAGACAGGCACAGAUGUUACUUUAAACCCAUGAAAUCCUAUCCCCUAGAAGCAGAGGCAUGCUUUGGGGUAGAUGACCUAAAGGCUGGUGGAGGCAGGCUUACCAUCGUGAUGGCCUGUCCUUGAGCUCCGAUGGCCAUUGCCAAGGCAUUCUGGUCAUGCCAGCUUGCUGGCAAAGCAAAGAUGUGCCAAACACCUGCCAGAGAAAUGCCAAAAAAUGUCAGGGAAAAACAAAAAGUGGUGAGAUCAGAAAGGGGAUGAGAAAGCAUAUAACAAGGAGAGUGUGGUUGAGCAUGGCAAAUAAAAAGGGUGAUGUAGUCUUAGAGCUUUGCUGUAGGUCUUAAAUAGGAUUACGGGGAUAAACAGGACCCAGUGCAGCUUGUUUGGGAAGAAGGAAACUGGCCCCAAAGGAAUGAAGGAAAACGGGGCUCCAAGAACAGGGCAUUUCUCCUGAAGGUUAGCAAGGGGCCGGCAGCAGGUUACUUGGAUGUGGGUAACCUGGAAGGGGUGGCCAAAAUAGGGUGAAACUGUUGGGCCAGACCUCACGUGAGUUAGGGUGGGGAGGUGGGUGAAUGCGAGGGGCUUUUCUAACCUCAGGUGCCUCCACACCGUGCAACCACACGGCAACAGUGCCUUCGACUACAUGGACACCUCAUGGGAGAGGUACGACAGGAUGGAGCCAUUCAGAUCUCAGGGUAUGUGAUGGCAACAUCUCGUUUCCAAUGAUGGAGAAAGCUACUGGAGAAACUGCUAUUCUGGCUCUAAUUUGGGCUAAUAGAGAACUGUCUGAAAAAAAAAAGUGGGAGGUAAUUUCAGGAAAUAAAUUACAAAAUAGCGGAGCACACAGUGCCACGAGAAAAGGAGUGAGAACAGCAGAGCGAGGAUAAUGGACCGAAAAAAACUCAGGGAACUGGUAGGUAACAUCGCUAGGGAAGAUGAUCUGAGGGAUAAAGAGAGCAGGGAAGCUUGCAAUUACAUAAAGUGACUGCUCUAGGGGCACCAAAACAAGCCUUCCUGAUGCAGUGGGAUAGCAGGAAGGUGGCUCAGACAAAAAGGGUGGCAGAAAAGGGGAAAGGAGGGCAGAAACCCAGUGAUGGGGUUGGCAGAGCAGAUGCUCAGCUAGGUAUGAACAGGACAAGCUCCAACAGGCCAUCAACCUAAAGGCUGUGAAAAAAACUUUUUGUAAAUGCAUCGGACAGGGAAGGGGAACUAAGGAGAGACCGAGCUCACUGCCUCCGUGGAGGGGGGGAGCCGAGAGGAUCCACGGUGGGCUGUGCUUCAGCCCUCCCUCCCAGCCAGCUAAUUAGGCCAGGGUAAUCAUGGUGGGCUUACGAGGUUUCUCCAAGAGCUGCUGGUGGCAAGUGAGCAUCUCUUCAGCAGGGCAACUGGAAGCCUGGCUCCAAAACAGGGAGCAUUAUGCGAAGGCAGGGAGAACUACAAGAAGUCAUUAAGCAAUCAAUUUGUUAGAACCUGGAGGGUAAUGAGGCUACAAAGCAGCAACCAGCACAGGUUUGUUGAGAACAAAUGUGAAACCAAUUUGCUCCUAUGAUGGGAUACCUGCUCUUGAGGUGCAGGAGAUAUGCCAGAGCUUGGUGAUGAGGCUUGAACUGAUGUGUGCAAGUCCCAAAAGCAGGAUAAAGAACCUGGUCUGGUGUGGUCCUCACCACGAGGAGAGGAGAGGUGGUUGAAACACCUCCCUCAAGCCAUCUGGGGAGAGAAUUGAGGGUCUCCAGCCCAGAUGUCUCUAAGGGGUGGGUUAAGGCUGGUGAUGUUGGUGAGCAACCUCAUGUGGAGAGGGAAUGGAGUCAGAAACAGUGACGAGCUCAGCAAAUGGCAUGAGCAGGCUGCAAGCACCAAGGUGGAGGUGCACAAGGGUGAUGGAGAAAUCACUUAGAGCAACUCCAAACCAGGCAUUAACAGGACUGCAGGAAGGGCUGGGGACUGUGUGCUGAACUCAGGAGGAGACGAGCCGAUGCACGUGGCUGACAAUGACAACCGCGAGGCACGGUGGCAUCAGCUGCCCUCUGCCUCGUCCCCUGAGGCAGUGCCUGUGCUGCUGAGAUGAGCUCACUCGUGUGUCUGUCCUGGCCAGGCGCUGACAUCGCAGCUCUGCCCGCAAGGACCAGCCCUGCCCUUGCUAGGUCCUGCUGCAGUCUCCAGCUGGUCCCAGUCACCGUCAGCUCCACUGCAGGGGCUCCUCAUCCUCAUCCUCAUCCUCAUCCUCAUCCUCAUCCUCAUCCUCAUCCUCAUCCUCAUCCUCAUCCUCAUCCUCAUCCUCAUCCUCAUCCUCAUCCUCAUCCUCACCCUCAUCCUCAUCCUCAUCCAUCUUCAUCCUCGCCACCAGCUGCCCCCUGCUCCCCGUCUCAUGUGUUCAGAGCCCUGAAGGACAGCCCUGCCCUAAAGCAAAUCUCACAGGGCUUGCUCAGGACUUGUUCUUGUGUCUCUGCCUUGCACCUCGUGCUCGUGCUGCAGUGCAACAUCCCUGCUGCCCCCACCUCCGCACUGCGUCCCCAGGGCCAUGGUCCUGCCGUGCUCGCUACGUGUCCACAUUUGUCUGAACAGUUGACCCCUUCAGUUAUUAUUAGCUCCAUGGUCACCUCCACCACUGCCUGUCAUGAUGAAUUAGAAAUACAGUCCUCUCUGCAUCAUGGUCCUCGAUAAACCAACCGUCUCUCCUACCUGCUGCAGUCACCUCAUUAUAACUCCAUUACCUUUAACAACAACUCCAUUACCACCCAUUAUCUUCCUUAUCAUCUCCUUUACAAGGCUGUUAUCUGCUCCUCCUCCUCUACAGCCAUCCCCUCCUCAAUUACGAUUCCAUUAUCUUUAUUACCACCCCAUUAGAGUCAUAAUUAUUCCCAUCACAAUUCCAGGACCUACUCCUCCAUCCCGACAAGCUGGUGUCUCCAGAAGCCCCCCCCCCCCCACCAGCACCGCUCUGCACUGCCUCUGUUGGGUAGCGCCGUCAUCACCACCUGCCCUGUGCUCAGCAUCAUCCCUGUGAUGAUGGCAAUAUUUUAAUUAGUCUUCAUUACGGUUUUACUGAUUUAUUUUAUUUUAUUUUAUUUUAUUUUAUUUUAUUUUAUUUUAUUUUAUUUUAUUUAUUUAUUUAUUUUGCUGUUAUUGCUUGCUUUAUCAGCCAUUUUCCUUUCCCUGUCAUGGUUGGGAUUGGUGCCUGGGUGUGAGCUGAUGCUUUGGUCCGUGGCAUUGCACUGAUUUGCACCAGCUCUGAGUGGGUAUCUUCCUCCCAUCCUCUAUCACAAUUACAGCAUUUUCACUUCUGCUAAAGCCCUAAUUGCUGACAUUAUCCUUCCAUUAGCCUCCAGCUUCCCUGGUGGGUGCGACCACCUCCUCCCACCAUCAGUGCCCCCAUUCCUGCCCAGGCAGGGGAACAUCCCCAACCUCCCUGAUUUUCCAUGCCUACAGCUUCCAACGGCUCCAGGCAUGGCUUAUUCCUUUCAUUUUCCCCGUGGUUUUAGUGGAAGAAGGGUUUUUGUUGCAAAGGUGCCCACUUCCACAAAUUCCCGCGGUGCAGCCCUGAGGGUGCAUCCUGUCGGUGCUGUUCUUGUGGCUGCUGUGCUCUGGGCACUGCCAAAACCACCCACCCUUCAGCCACAGCACCAGCAGCUUCCUGAAACCACCUUAUUCACUCAGGAGAGGCAUUCAAAAGCUCCUUCAUUGGCAUUAAUAGUAGGGGGAGAGUCUCUUGCCCAGCACAGGGAGGGCUGCACCAGCACUGCACCCCUUGCUCCAUGGCUUUUGGGAUCUGGCAGUAUUGUAUCUCACUGAAUAUCACGGGAACAGGGCAGGGCAGAGCAUUAGCUUCUUAUGAAACCUUCCUGGCUUAUCAGCCCCUUCUCCGUGUGUGGCCGCACAAAAAUAUCACGGGCAAAAACCAGGAACGUUUAAACCUGGUGCUGGUGAAGGUGCUGGGCUGGGCUCCUCCACCUCUGGGGCACUGCUCUACCUGGAGAGAAAGGGUGGGAGAGAGCCUGGGUGUUUUGGGCACCAUUUUGGGUGCUGUGUAGGAACAGGGCACUGCUGUGUCCACCCUAUGGCACUGAGCAGAAGCCUGCAGGUUACAGAGCCACAGAAUUACCAGAGGAUCGGGAAACCACCUCUCUGCGAGAGAUUCAGAGAGCUGAGCCUGUUUAGUUUAUCAAGAAGAUUGAGAGGUGAUUUCAUUUAUUCCUGCAAGAACUGUCAAGGCAGGGAAACACUAAAGAAGGCACUAAAGAUCUCCUGAAAGCUGUGGAGAAGAGCAGAGGGGGAUGGCAGGGAGCAAAGGCAGGUGGAUUUGGGUGACUGGUGCAGCACACGUGGAUUACAGUGCGAGCGAUGCCCAUCUGCAGCAAGCGAUGCUGCAACAUGUGCUGGGCAUCCCCAGGCCCCGUCCGUCUGCAGGCAGCACUCAGGGGCUGUGUGUGGAGCUGGGGAAUUGGGGUGUUGGGAACUGUUAAUUAUGCCGGGCUGACGGGUAAUUAACGUCGGCAGGGCGAGCUGCGAUUUCGAUCAUGUUCGGAUGCCCUGGGGUUAUUUCCCACGAUCAAUGCAGUGCAUAAAUAAUGCAGCCCAUGGCAGGGGGGAACGCUGCCUAUCGUUAUCAGACUCUGUGCUGUUUGGAUCAGUGAUGCUAGGAGGGAACACGGCUUAGGGUAAAAGGGAAAAAUGGGAAUAAAUACACUGGUGGGGCUUUGCUAAUUCUAGCUCGGCUGAAGUGGAAUAAAUGAAGGGAGAUGGUGCAGUUCUCAUUGCUCUGCUACUAUUUCUAGAUUGCUAUAGGAUGGGUAUAAUAGAGGGCAGUGGGGAAUUUGGGUGUCAAAGGAAAGGAUUUGGCUGACGAGCUGGCAAGGCACAGGGCGCUGUGUUUAAAGCAGGGCCAGGAAGGAGCCUGACUCUCUGGGCUUCCAGCUUUAAUCUGUAGCCACAGGUUGCCUCUUAAAAGGCAUCAGCGGGGCUCGCCUGAGCGAGCUGCCUCACUGCCAUAACCUGCUGUCCAUUCCAACCACUAAACCGCAUUAUUUUGAUAUUUUUUUUUUGCUAAAAAAGACAAGGAAGUGGCAGAAAGUGGGCAGUGUGGUGUCCAACACUUUAAAGACUCAGACAACACAGCCAGCAAACCUGUGCUGGAAGAGCUGGUGCCACCGAGGCACAAGCAUGCUGAACAUCUGGAGAGGGAGCACCUGGGAGCUUUUUUUUUCUUUUUUUUUUCUGGUUGUUGGUUUUGUUGUUUUUUAAUUAAAUGGAAACCAUUUGGUGAGGUCAGUAAAUGAUUUGGGGGCCCAGCCCUUUUUUCGCUGUAGAGCCCCAUGGGGCUGCUGCCUUGGGUUUGCGAGCUGUGGUUAAGAGCAAGCCCACUGCAAACCGCAAGGCUGGGAAGGGAGCACCUUGGGGAGUCUUUAAACAACACUUAAUUACAUUAGCUAUACACCAGCCGAGGGAUAAUUCACCAUCUCGAGACAGACACUUUAAUCCUGGCAGCAGGAUGGAACCAGAAGUGCGCAGGGGCUGAUGCAGGAUGCUCUGCUCCCUGGGUACUGCCAAGGGGCUGAGAACUGCUGCCGAUGCCUUGCAAAGGACUGGCCCCAGGGGCUUUGCUGGCAGCGGGUUUCUGAGCGUGCCCAGAUACCCUCCUGAAGGAGCAAUUUAGUAUUUGCAAGACCCCAGCUGCUAGCUGGGUUUGGGGUUUGCUCCCCCUGUCCUGCUCUGUGGGGCUGGCAAAUCCGGCUCAGAGCUGGCUCCCACACCAUCAUCAAGCCACAAACACUCCCAGAGAGAAAACUGGCACUUGGUACAUGCUGGUACAGCCAUGGGGUCAUUCCCUUUCCCUAUAUCUCCAAUACUCAGAGAUUUGGAGCUCGGCUGGUGGGGACAGGGCUUUCCAGCCCCCCAGGUCUGCAGCCCAGAUGGUCUGCACAGAUUACUGCAGCCUCAGGAGCCACCAAUCCUGGGCAGUUUGGCAGGGCUGAAUUCCCUCCAAAUGACAAAAAUAAAUAAAAUCUCUUCACAUUAGAUGCUGGGAAGCCCAUGAAAAAGCUGUGUACACAGUGAAAACAAAUACGUGGUUAAAUAGCCUCUCCAACAGUAUUUCUCUAAAACGCCUCUCUAAAUAACGCAGAGUGAAAGGCUUGCUCAGCAGUGAUUAACCUCCGCUCGGGAAGAUGCUCUGUAUCAAAUCGUUACCGUCAGCUGAUUAAAAACGAAUUAAACGGAACAGAAAACAAUUCCCAAAACAUCAUCUCUCCUUUUGAAUGCAACGCCCAGAUGCGAAUCAUAGCACACCCUAUCCCACCGAAGAGCAAGUGGAGGCACCUGGAGAGCCCGAGGAUGAAGGGCAAAGGGGAUGCCGAGAGGGAUGGGGCGAAAUAACUCAACCUGGAGACAGCUCUGCCUCGAGGGCCCUUCUUAUUUCCAAGCUGCCGGUUUAGAAAAAUAAAAUAAAUGAAGUAACGGGGAAGGACUGCAGCUGAUUUAGCAGCCUUCGUCUGCUUGGCAUCCGGUGGAGGUCUGAGGGGUCAGGAAGGACAGGCAGGUGGGAGAGACCCGCGCCGUGCCAGGCGCUGGCACCAUCUCCCAUUCCUGCCAAUCAAGCCUCGCCAGCUUUUAAUUGCCACGCUCCAUGUGACUCCAAGCAAUGGCAAAGCAUCAAAUGCUGCUUCUCA